Molecule: non-coding RNA, 45 nt
Organism: Schistosoma haematobium
Lineage: Eukaryota; Metazoa; Platyhelminthes; Trematoda; Strigeidida; Schistosomatidae
Source: Rfam
AUCCAGCUGACGAGUCCCAAAUAAAACCAAACGCGCGUCCUGGAU